This 943-nucleotide ribosomal RNA is filed under the name Russula griseoviridis. Its description in RNAcentral is "partial large subunit ribosomal RNA". It matches the Rfam family "Eukaryotic large subunit ribosomal RNA", at positions 35 to 954 of the family's 3401-position model. Lineage: Eukaryota; Fungi; Basidiomycota; Agaricomycetes; Russulales; Russulaceae. The record is from RNAcentral.
UAAGCAUAUCAAUAAGCGGAGGAAAAGAAACUAACAAGGAUUCCCCUAGUAACUGCGAGUGAAGCGGGAAAAGCUCAAAUUUAAAAUCUGGUGGCCUUUGGCCAUCCGAGUUGUAAUUUAGAGAAGUGUCUUCCGCGCUGGACCGUGCACAAGUCUCCUGGAAUGGAGCGUCAUAGAGGGUGAGAAUCCCGUCUUUGGCACGGACUCCCGGUGCUUUUGCGAUGCGCUCUCGAAGAGUCGAGUUGUUUGGGAAUGCAGCUCAAAAUGGGUGGUGAACUCCAUCUAAAGCUAAAUACUGGCGAGAGACCGAUAGCGAACAAGUACCGUGAGGGAAAGAUGAAAAGCACUUUGGAAAGAGAGUGAAACAGUACGUGAAAUUGUUGAAAGGGAAACGCUUGAAGUCAGUCGCGUCGACCGAGACUCAGCCUUGCCUCGGCUUGGUGUGCUUCUCGGCUCGACGGGUCAGCAUCAAUUUCGAUCCUCGGAUAAUGGCAAGGGAAAGGUAGCACCUUUUUAGGUGUGUUAUAGUCCUCUGUCGCAUGCGAGGGUUGGGAUUGAGGAACUCAGCACGCACCUCCGGGUGUCGGGGUCUUUGCCCACGUUACGUGCUUAGGAUGCUGGCGUAAUGGCUUUAAACGACCCGUCUUGAAACACGGACCAAGGAGUCUAACAUACCCGCGAGUGUUCGGGUGGAAAACCCGUGCGCGUAAUGAAAGUAAAAGUUGGGACCUCUGUCGUGGAGGGCACCGACGCCCGGACCAGACCUUCUGUGACGGCUCUGCGGUAGAGCGUGUAUGUUGGGACCCGAAAGAUGGUGAACUAUGCCUGAAUAGGGUGAAGCCAGAGGAAACUCUGGUGGAGGCUCGUAGCGAUUCUGACGUGCAAAUCGAUCGUCAAAUUUGGGUAUAGGGGCGAAAGACUAAUCGAACCAUCUAGUAGCUGG